AAUCCAUAGGUUAAUGAGGCGAACCGGGGGAACUGAAACAUCUAAGUACCCCGAGGAAAAGAAAUCAACCGAGAUUCCCCCAGUAGCGGCGAGCGAACGGGGAGGAGCCCAGAGCCUGAAUCAGCAUGUGUGUUAGUGGAAGCGUCUGGAAAGGCGCGCGAUACAGGGUGACAGCCCCGUACACAAAAGCGCAUGUGCUGUGAGCUCGAUGAGUAGGGCGGGACACGUGGUAUCCUGUCUGAAUAUGGGGGGACCAUCCUCCAAGGCUAAAUACUCCUGACUGACCGAUAGUGAACCAGUACCGUGAGGGAAAGGCGAAAAGAACCCCGGCGAGGGGAGUGAAAAAGAACCUGAAACCGUGUACGUACAAGCAGUGGGAGCACCCUUUGGGUGUGACUGCGUACCUUUUGUAUAAUGGGUCAGCGACUUAUAUUCUGUAGCAAGGUUAACCGAAUAGGGGAGCCGGAGGGAAACCGAGUCUUAACCGGGCGUUAAGUUGCAGGGUAUAGACCCGAAACCCGGUGAUCUAGCCAUGGGCAGGUUGAAGGUUGGGUAACACUAACUGGAGGACCGAACCGACUAAUGUUGAAAAAUUAGCGGAUGACCUGUGGCUGGGGGUGAAAGGCCAAUCAAACCGGGAGAUAGCUGGUUCUCCCCGAAAGCUAUUUAGGUAGCGCCUCGUGAAUUCAUCUCCGGGGGUAGAGCACUGUUUCGGCUAGGGGGCCAUCCCGGCUUACCAACCCGAUGCAAACUGCGAAUACCGGAGAAUGUUAUCACGGGAGACACACGGCGGGUGCUAACGUCCGUCGUGAAGAGGGAAACAACCCAGACCGCCAGCUAAGGUCCCAAAGUCAUGGUUAAGUGGGAAACGAUGUGGGAAGGCCCAGACAGCCAGGAUGUUGGCUUAGAAGCAGCCAUCAUUUAAAGAAAGCGUAAUAGCUCACUGGUCGAGUCGGCCUGCGCGGAAGAUGUAACGGGGCUAAACCAUGCACCGAAGCUGCGGCAGCGACACUGUGUGUUGUUGGGUAGGGGAGCGUUCUGUAAGCCUGUGAAGGUGUGUCGU
RNAcentral lists this ribosomal RNA (1063 nucleotides) under Salmonella enterica subsp. enterica serovar Enteritidis. RNAcentral describes it as "partial 23S ribosomal RNA". It matches the Rfam family "Bacterial large subunit ribosomal RNA", at positions 161 to 1264 of the family's 2925-position model. The record is from RNAcentral. Lineage: Bacteria; Pseudomonadati; Pseudomonadota; Gammaproteobacteria; Enterobacterales; Enterobacteriaceae.